UUUCCGCUGUUGAUUCCAGUGUGUCAUGGGAACAUCUGAAGUGCCAAAUACUGACGAAGUACAGCGACCUCCAUUCAUCAAUUCCAAGUGAAAUUUGUCGGGCCUUAAUCAUAAUCAAAGAAAAGAAUCCGUCACGAGGAGCCAAGCGUUCGCACCAAGGUACACUGAAGAUAUCCAAUCUGUUGGAGAAGAUCGUUGAAUGGAUUAGUCCAGAAGACGACAUCGAAGCAUAUGUCAAUACUCACAGUGCAACGGCUCUUCCAAUAUUAAUCGUCAAAGGACAGCAGUACUCCGAGGGUGACACCUACAUUCGUGUUGGAAAGCGAUAUUUUAGCUCAGGAUCCGACAUAACAAAAGCGUUUUUUACGCUGAUUAAGACCUACUUUUUUUUCAACAUAAAUUUCGAGCCGUCGUUCAUCAACUUCUUUACACUUUUCGUUGGAGGUGUGUUUAAAAUUCGAAACUCAUCAACCACAGUUGAAAAUUUUUUGAUUCAGUUACGGCCAACAUAAACUUGAUAUACACAUUCCAUUGAAAUGUAUAUAGUGUUGUAACCUAUAACAAUGAUAUAUAUAUAUACUUAUAAGAAUAUAUACGAGUAAUAAAAUAAUUACUGAUAA
Armigeres subalbatus is the source of this 620-nucleotide long non-coding RNA. RefSeq lists it as uncharacterized. NCBI's taxonomy places the organism in Eukaryota, Metazoa, Arthropoda, Insecta, Diptera, Culicidae. The record is from RefSeq and is a predicted model, not a curated record. The transcript is spliced from 3 exons.